GAGUGGCGAACGGGUGAGUAACACGUGGGUAACCUGCCCAUCAGAAGGGGAUAACACUUGGAAACAGGUGCUAAUACCGUAUAACAAUCGAAACCGCAUGGUUUUGAUUUGAAAGGCGCUUUCGGGUGUCGCUGAUGGAUGGACCCGCGGUGCAUUAGCUAGUUGGUGAGGUAACGGCUCACCAAGGCGACGAUGCAUAGCCGACCUGAGAGGGUGAUCGGCCACAUUGGGACUGAGACACGGCCCAAACUCCUACGGGAGGCAGCAGUAGGGAAUCUUCGGCAAUGGACGAAAGUCUGACCGAGCAACGCCGCGUGAGUGAAGAAGGUUUUCGGAUCGUAAAACUCUGUUGUUAGAGAAGAACAAGGAUGAGAGUAACUGUUCAUCCCUUGACGGUAUCUAACCAGAAAGCCACGGCUAACUACGUGCCAGCAGCCGCGGUAAUACGUAGGUGGCAAGCGUUGUCCGGAUUUAUUGGGCGUAAAGCGAGCGCAGGCGGUUUCUUAAGUCUGAUGUGAAAGCCCCCGGCUCAACCGGGGAGGGUCAUUGGAAACUGGGAGACUUGAGUGCAGAAGAGGAGAGUGGAAUUCCAUGUGUAGCGGUGAAAUGCGUAGAUAUAUGGAGGAACACCAGUGGCGAAGGCGGCUCUCUGGUCUGUAACUGACGCUGAGGCUCGAAAGCGUGGGGAGCAAACAGGAUUAGAUACCCUGGUAGUCCACGCCGUAAACGAUGAGUGCUAAGUGUUGGAGGGUUUCCGCCCUUCAGUGCUGCAGCUAACGCAUUAAGCACUCCGCCUGGGGAGUACGACCGCAAGGUUGAAACUCAAAGGAAUUGACGGGGGCCCGCACAAGCGGUGGAGCAUGUGGUUUAAUUCGAAGCAACGCGAAGAACCUUACCAGGUCUUGACAUCCUUUGACCACUCUAGAGAUAGAGCUUCCCCUUCGGGGGCAAAGUGACAGGUGGUGCAUGGUUGUCGUCAGCUCGUGUCGUGAGAUGUUGGGUUAAGUCCCGCAACGAGCGCAACCCUUAUUGUUAGUUGCCAUCAUUUAGUUGGGCACUCUAGCAAGACUGCCGGUGACAAACCGGAGGAAAGGUGGGGAUGACGUCAAAUCAUCAUGCCCCUUAUGACCUGGGCUACACACGUGCUACAAUGGGAAGUACAACGAGUCGCAAAGUCGCGAGGCUAAGCUAAUCUCUUAAAGCUUCUCUCAGUUCGGAUUGUAGGCUGCAACUCGCCUACAUGAAGCCGGAAUCGCUAGUAAUCGCGGAUCAGCACGCCGCGGUGAAUACGUUCCCGGGCCUUGUACACACCGCCCGUCACACCACGAGAGUUUG
This 1335-nucleotide ribosomal RNA is filed under the name Enterococcus hirae. RNAcentral's name for it is "bacterial SSU rRNA". It matches the Rfam family "Bacterial small subunit ribosomal RNA", at positions 93 to 1414 of the family's 1533-position model. The record is from RNAcentral. Lineage: Bacteria; Bacillati; Bacillota; Bacilli; Lactobacillales; Enterococcaceae.